CCUACGGGUGGCAGCAGUAGGGAAUCUUCGGCAAUGGACGGAAGUCUGACCGAGCAACGCCGCGUGAGUGAAGAAGGUUUUCGGAUCGUAAAGCUCUGUUGUAAGAGAAGAACGAGUGUGAGAGUGGAAAGUUCACACUGUGACGGUAUCUUACCAGAAAGGGACGGCUAACUACGUGCCAGCAGCCGCGGUAAUACGUAGGUCCCGAGCGUUGUCCGGAUUUAUUGGGCGUAAAGCGAGCGCAGGCGGUUAGAUAAGUCUGAAGUUAAAGGCUGUGGCUUAACCAUAGUACGCUUUGGAAACUGUUUAACUUGAGUGCAAGAGGUGAGAGUGGAAUUCCAUGUGUAGCGGUGAAAUGCGUAGAUAUAUGGAGGAACACCGGUGGCGAAAGCGGCUCUCUGGCUUGUAACUGACGCUGAGGCUCGAAAGCGUGGGGAGCAAACAGGAUUAGAUACCCCGGUAGUC
Molecule: ribosomal RNA, 465 nt
Filed under: uncultured Streptococcus sp.
Lineage: Bacteria; Bacillati; Bacillota; Bacilli; Lactobacillales; Streptococcaceae
Description: bacterial SSU rRNA
Rfam family: Bacterial small subunit ribosomal RNA
Source: RNAcentral